GAACUGAAGAGUUUGAUCAUGGCUCAGAUUGAACGCUGGCGGCAGGCCUAACACAUGCAAGUCGAGCGGAUG
RNAcentral lists this ribosomal RNA (72 nucleotides) under Pseudomonas aeruginosa. Its description in RNAcentral is "partial 16S ribosomal RNA". It matches the Rfam family "Bacterial small subunit ribosomal RNA", at positions 1 to 72 of the family's 1533-position model. RNAcentral also lists the same sequence under 2 other names. Lineage: Bacteria; Pseudomonadati; Pseudomonadota; Gammaproteobacteria; Pseudomonadales; Pseudomonadaceae. The record is from RNAcentral.